Molecule: transfer RNA, 82 nt
Filed under: Siphoviridae sp. ctD5s5
Lineage: Duplodnaviria; Heunggongvirae; Uroviricota; Caudoviricetes
Description: tRNA-Ser
Rfam family: tRNA
About the family: Transfer RNA (tRNA) molecules are approximately 80 nucleotides in length. Their secondary structure includes four short double-helical elements and three loops (D, anti-codon, and T loops). Further hydrogen bonds mediate the characteristic L-shaped molecular structure. tRNAs have two regions of fundamental functional importance: the anti-codon, which is responsible for specific mRNA codon recognition, and the 3' end, to which the tRNAs corresponding amino acid is attached (by aminoacyl-tRNA synthetases). tRNAs cope with the degeneracy of the genetic code in two manners: having more than one tRNA (with a specific anti-codon) for a particular amino acid; and 'wobble' base-pairing, i.e. permitting non-standard base-pairing at the 3rd anti-codon position.
Source: RNAcentral
GGAAGGUUCGCAUAAUGGUAUUGCAGUGGUCUUGAAAACCGCCGACCGAAAGGUUAUAAGUGUUCGAGUCACUUACCUUCCG